AACGAACGCUGGCGGCAGGCUUAACACAUGCAAGUCGAACGCCCCGCAAGGGGAGUGGCAGACGGGUGAGUAACGCGUGGGAACGUGCCCUAAGGUACGGAACAACUCCGGGAAACUGGAGCUAAUACCGUAUGUGACCGAGAGGUGAAGGAUUUAUCGCCUUAGGAUCGGCCCGCGUCAGAUUAGCUAGUUGGUGGGGUAAUGGCCUACCAAGGCGACGAUCUGUAGCUGUUCUGAGAGGAAGAUCAGCCACACUGGGACUGAGACACGGCCCAGACUCCUACGGGAGGCAGCAGUGGGGAAUCUUGGACAAUGGGCGCAAGCCUGAUCCAGCCAUGCCGCGUGGAUGAUGAAGGCCCUAGGGUUGUAAAAUCCUUUCGCCGAGGACGAUAAUGUCGGUACUCGGAGAAGAAGCUCCGGCUAACUUCGUGCCAGCCGCCGCGGUAA
RNAcentral lists this ribosomal RNA (447 nucleotides) under uncultured bacterium. RNAcentral describes it as "partial 16S ribosomal RNA". It matches the Rfam family "Bacterial small subunit ribosomal RNA", at positions 29 to 523 of the family's 1533-position model. The record is from RNAcentral.